Long non-coding RNA from Dipodomys ordii (Ord's kangaroo rat), 664 nucleotides. RefSeq lists it as uncharacterized. The record is from RefSeq and is a predicted model, not a curated record. Lineage: Eukaryota; Metazoa; Chordata; Mammalia; Rodentia; Heteromyidae. The transcript has 3 exons.
ACGUGGGGUAUACAUUGUGGGGACAUGCAGAAGGCUCUCCUCCCUGCUCCAGGGGGUUCUUGGGGAGCAAGUCACUCACCCUCGGUGGAUGUUAGCUGGCCUCUUUCCUGGCUUCCUCUACUGCAGCAGCUGGUGUGCACUGAAGUAAAAUUCCUUUGUUUCCCGCUUCUCUGGGUCCUCCGGAAAUGGCUGCCUCCUUUCUAGGCAGCAGAGCAGCUCUAGCUCUGGCCUUUGAUGAACCUUGGUCCCUUCAGUUUAGCAACUGAGGCCACAGGCCAACCAUACACCAACCCAGACAGAAGAUCAGCAGGAACAUAAGUACUGACUCACUUCUGAAGGGAGAGCGAGAAAAAAAAAACUGAGACUUCCAUGCAGAUGGUAGGCCAGCUGCCCCAAUUGCAGGACAGCAGCAAGGUAUCCUGGGAGAAGAGGCAAGAGUAUGAAGAUUCUUCCGAGACACAGGUACACAAGGAAGGGCUAGGCCAAGGAUGAAUCAGGAAACCUCUUUGUUACAAUCAUGACUGCCCUAACCACCAUGCAGCCUGGGAGAAUUUGAACCCCAUACUUAAUUGAAGUUAGCCAACUCAGCUUCACCUCCCUGCCCCAUGAAUGAUUUAGGAGAAGAUGUAUACAUGCACCUUGUCAUAAAUUGCUCUCAACUUUA